GGGGAUUUAGCUCAGCGGCAUAAGCACCUGCCUCUCAAGCAGGCAGUCCUGAGUUCGAUCCCCA
This is a non-coding RNA of Cavia porcellus (domestic guinea pig), 64 nucleotides long. NCBI's taxonomy places the organism in Eukaryota, Metazoa, Chordata, Mammalia, Rodentia, Caviidae. The record is from Rfam.